CACAGCAAGUUUUCAGCUUGUCAUGGGAGAUGUAAUAAAAGUAUCGCAACCUACAAUCUCAAGAAUUAUUUUUUGAGUGUCAAUUUUGUUAGUCAGUCAUAUUAAUGUAUACAUCAAGAUGCCACUAUCAGCUGUAAAAAGGAUUGAAAAUAAACGUUUAUUUGAAGAGCUUGGACGUGUUGAAGCUAUAGGUUUAUCUUCUUUUAGUGGAGCAAUCGAUUGCACGCAUAUUCGACUGACACAUACUAGAUUUCAAGCCAUUGAUGAAAUAUUUAAAAAUCGAAAAGGAUAUUUUUCGUUAAAUGUUCACACACACAAAACUUGAGUGGAAAUGUCCACCAUAAUCGUGUGUACCAGCUCGUUUAUCACGACAUCUCUCCAGGAAGGGAGUUUGCUACCUCGAGCCCUGCAGAAAUAAUUUUCUGUUUGUGCUAAUAAAGCUGAAGAUGGCUCAAAGGAAGAGCCAAAACGUUCUUUACUUGUAAAUACACGUUUUAAUUUUUAUUGCGCACCACGUUCCGCGCUUGACUCGCAUCGCCGUUUGUACAGAUGACAUUUUCACGAGUCUAGAUAUAUUAUUAGUUUUAAUUUAAUUUUAACAUUACAUAAUAUC
Molecule: long non-coding RNA, 613 nt
Organism: Temnothorax curvispinosus
Lineage: Eukaryota; Metazoa; Arthropoda; Insecta; Hymenoptera; Formicidae
Exons: 3
Source: RefSeq, a predicted model, not a curated record